RNAcentral lists this unclassified non-coding RNA (1362 nucleotides) under Hevea brasiliensis (rubber tree). The record is from RNAcentral. Lineage: Eukaryota; Viridiplantae; Streptophyta; Magnoliopsida; Malpighiales; Euphorbiaceae.
GCUCUUGGAGAUGGCCAAGAUAACACUUUUGGACUGGAAAACCGAGCCAAGGUUCUUCAAAAAUUUUUGCCUGUGAAAAGCUUGUCUUUAAUAUUUAUUUUAGUGGAAGAAUUUCUUAGGUUUGAGUGUUUGUAGCUUGAAGCACGGUUAAGGAUUCUUGAAGGGAGAGAAUUGAGUCGUGCUGCUGGAUCUGCUAAAGGCAAACCAAAGAUAGAAGCUUAUGACAAGGAUCGAAAGAAGGGAGCUGGAGGAUUGAUAACUCCUGCCAAUGUCCAUCUUUGGUCUCAUGUAUUGUUUCUAGUUUUCUCUCACAUUUUUAUUCAGGUAAUUAUCUACUCUCUUUUGCUUUGUGCAGUCUUAUAAUCCUUCUGCGGAUGCUGUUCUUGGGCAAACAUCAAACGCUAGUGCUGGGAAUGGGGAAGAAAUUGUCCCAAAGAAGAGAAAGACUGAGGCAGAACCUUCUCUUACUGGGGGAAUGGCAGAAGAGGCUCCAGUUACUGGUGAGCAGAAGAAAGAGAAGAAGAAGAAAAAGAAAAAAACUGAUGAAGAGGAAACUGCUGUGCCAAAUGAUGGAAAUGACACUACUGAGCAGGAAGGCGGAGGGAAAGCAAAGAAAGAUAAGAAGAAAAAAAAGCAUAAAGCACAAAGCAAUGAAGUGCAAAAUGAGUCCGAAAAUGCUGAUGCAGGAGAAAAGAAGAAAAAGAAGCGAAAGCAUGCUGAGCAAGAUGAAGAACCUGAAAUGCCAAGCAAGAAGAAAGAGAAAAAAAAGAGAAAAAGCGAUGAUUGAGAAAAUCUGGAAAGUGGAGGAUACAGGCCACCUAGCAAUUUUGGAGAAGAAAUUAGACAACCAGCUAGCAACCGCAUAAUUUUCUUUAGGUUUUGGUUUGCUAGCAUAUUUCUUUCCAGUGUAUUUUAUGAUUUCCUAUACAGGUGACAAUGAGAUGUUCUGUUGGACAUAUUUUGAAAAUUAUAUUUGGAAUUCACUUAUGUGUUAGUCUGCAGUUAUUUAUUCAAAAGAUUAAGUAGGUACAUAAAUAAAAUCUGAUAUAUUUUUGACAUUUCGUAAUUUGAUUAUGAAGUUAAUUUAUAGAUAAUUAUACGAAUUAAGCUAAAACAGGUAUAAUUUUUUUUAGUUAACCAUCUGGAUUAUUCGUAUGUAUUAGGAUAAUGUAAAUUUACAGAAAUGUUCAUGUUAAAAAGAAAAGCUUGUAACAUAUGUUUUCACCUGCUAAAACCUUUGCUAUUCCUAUAUCCAUUUUUUUAAUUUGCUUUAAUGUUUACUUUAUCAAGCUUAUAGAGGAAAAAAGAUUAAUGAUUUGAAGAUUAAAGAGGAAAAGAAUAAGCUUUGUUGUGCAGUCUAAU